RNAcentral lists this ribosomal RNA (324 nucleotides) under Triticum aestivum (bread wheat). RNAcentral's name for it is "partial small subunit ribosomal RNA". Lineage: Eukaryota; Viridiplantae; Streptophyta; Magnoliopsida; Poales; Poaceae. The record is from RNAcentral.
AUGGUCGCGAACGCCAUGGACGGAAGCAAAGUCGAUGGAUCACAUUGGUCAGCUCCUACGGCGAGCGCUUCGAGAUCACGCAAUAGGCGGCAGCGCUGUCACAUCCACCACAUGAUUGAGGACAAGUGCGUCCAGAACGGCGUCCCGCUCCGCCGCCGCAACAUGCACCAAGGACAUGGAGUGCUGCAACAUGCACGCCGCCGCCGGAGGUACCAGCUCCACGUCCGGCCAGCAGGACCUGAAGAGCUAACAAGCUGUCCCAUGAUCCUUAAUUCGCGUAUACUACAUCAGGCCCUCGAGCGGCAAGACCUCGCAACGGCUUGA